AUCCAGGAUACAGUUACAUCUUGAUUGGUCCUAAGCUGAGGAGGUAAGAUGAGUCCCGAGGUUAUUUUAGUGCAUGCGGCUAGGAUUUCUCUACUCAAAUUGGUGCUCAAAUGGAGAGUGUUGCUUGAUUGGCAUCUUGAGGUAAAACCUGUAAAUGUUACUGACUGAAGAUGCUAAUGGAUUCACCUCACUUUGGAAGAGGACCCCAGAGAAGGUUCACUGAACUCAAUAGCUUACCCCUUUGCAUGAUUUGGCGUUUGUUGUGACUUUGGCUUAUAUGAUGGCCUUUCGUGUUCUGUUUGUACAAUUAUUUCUUCAAGUGAAUCAUUUGUGCGGUACUCAGACUGGAUAGCGCCUCAACAAAAUAUACCGAGGUAUUGUUCAUUAUUUCCAUGCAGACUUUAGGCUUCGAUUCCAUAAUCAACUAACCUUUGUUCAAAGCCAUCAAGGAAACAAAACCAAGUACGUCGAUGAAAAAAAAUUAGGACAAGUAAAUCAAAAGCAAGCUAAGAUCGAAAGCAAUGGACUGAAAAAUAAACACAGAUGAGCUGAUGAUAUGCAGCUGGCUAGGCAUUGGAGUUAAAUGGAGUGGUUCGAGCUCUUUAUAGUGUAUGUGCCUGGCAUUUACAAGUGAAAUUUUACCAAUGGAGUAUUGGAGUAUAUCAUCAGUUCUUAAAUUUUAAUCUUCAGAAAAAGAUACAUUUCAGAAUUUAAUGUUAUGUCUUAGGAGCAUGCACCAACAUGCUCAAAUGCACGGUAAAGCAGCAUAGAAAGAACAGUUUGCAUGUGUACUAAAAUUUUCUCUCACCAUUUGCCAAUUGUCAUUUUUCGGGUAACCAUGACCACGUCACCAGAUUAGCCAAGUGAAGGCUUUGCUUCCAGACGAAGACAAAUUGCCAACUGCCAUCCCGCCAAGAGCAACCUCGACCAGGUCACCAGAGUAGACAAGUGAAAGUGUUACUUACAUAUAUGUAGAGAAAUAAUGGCACAACAUCUAAAAAAAAAAAGAAUUUCACAAUGCAAACAAGAAUGUGCAGAAGAUGAUUAUGGAACUCUGCAGUUGGUUCUUCCCUUGAAGAUGCCCAGCAGUGAUGGUCAGAAAAGCGAUUGUGGUGCUAUAAAAUAAGAUGAUGACACGCUGCAUGUUUAGCUGUGACCGAACUCAUGGCCAGGAAGUGUUCUAAUGCCAUGCUUCAAGGGGCAUGCAUAGGCCACCAGUGGACAGGAAACUUCCCUCAGUUAGUCACUUUCUAGUCUGUUGCUUGCUAGCCAUGGUACAUCAUAAAUGAGGCAUGCCGUUGUUACGUCUUGAUUGAUCCUGAGCUGAAGAGGUAAGAUGAGUCCAAAGGCUAUUCUUGCGGAUACGACUGGGACUUCUAAUAGGGCCGACAUACUCAAAUGAUAUUUUUUCGGAUGGAAAGUCAUUGCUCACUGAAAAUCGAGGUAAACCUGUUAUUGUUAUUGAUAUGAAGAUGCUAACGAGUAGUUACUUUGGAAGAAGACACCAGACAAGGUUCAGUGAACUCAAUAACCCGCAACUGAAUGGCUCUAUCGCUUUGCAUGAUUUGUGUGUUCGCUAUGACUUUGCCUUCCCUGGUGGCCUUCCGUGAUCUGCGUGUACAAUUAUUUCUUCGCAUGAAUUGAUCAUCACAUGUUCACGUCCCGAAGCAAUUAUGCGUUAGUGCAAAACUCAGACGUGUUAGCUGGAUCUUCAUGCUUGCUCUGCCUGUUGACUAGAAUUGUGGAACACCUUUUGAAGAUCUCAACAAAAUAUACCAAGUGAUGCAGGCAACUAUCACAAAGAUGAUGUUACACCCGAGCGGUGAGAAUGCCAAAUUCUGCACCAACGACCCUCUCUUGCCUUUCCCUUUCGUGUUCUCAUUGGUGGUUUUAGUGUCUCCACUGGGUGGUGCAAAUGUUGCUGAUGAUGGCAAAUACCUGAGACCAAGAAGUAAAUUACCGCACAUGAAUUUGAGAUUCCAAAGCCAGGGACAUGAGCGAGCAGUCAAUGGAAUUCUCCCCAGAGUGCCUCGCAUUCACCACCAUGAAGAAUGCAUUGACUGUCUUCUGAUAAGAGCCGAGCCCAUCAAACACUGAAGAGUUCCAGUCAACAGAGCAAAACAGCGUGACCCCAGCUGCUACAAUGCCGAUGACCGUCGAGGAGAGAAACACAGUCGGCAACCUAGGAAGCAAAUUAGCAAAAUGCACUUCCUCGGGGUUCUUGGUCAUGAGCCUCAGCUCCUUCACCUUUGUGAGCUUCCCCAGGAACCAUACCAGUAGCCUCAGGAAGAGAGGGAAUAAUGUGUUGCCUGCGAGCAUCUGGCCACUGAGCAGCAACAAGAGGCCUGAAUUCUUUGAGAAGAUGACCAUGUUCUCAUUUGUGGGCACGAGUCCUGCAUUCGCACAGGAGGCGACGGUGACUGAUAGUGAGAAGAGCACGAUGUUGAUCCCUUUCUUGUUCAGUGGGGCACUUGCAGUUGGCACAUGAGUUAUAUACAGAAAAACCAGCACAAAACCCAAGACAUGGAUCACGGCGAAGUACCCAAAGACCACAUAUCCUAAGCACUUGACAGACCUACUCCUCUUCAACUCUGUACAUUUCUUUGGUGGAAUUGCAUGAGAAGCGUCUUCAAGCUGCGACUCAUCACAUAGUGCCAUGCUGUUGGCCAAGUCUAGCACUUCAAGCUCGACCGGAACUGAGCUGAUCUUCACGCUCGGAAGAUCUUGCAUGUCUUGAUGGUUCACUCUAAGCAUGAGGCCUAAGAGUGAAACAAAGAUCUCCCCUCCUACAAGCAUGAGCAGUGUUAGGACCACAAUCUGAGAGCUCGAGAGGUCCUCCAUCUUGACGGUGCUGAGGCCAGAAACUGUUAGAGCAGAGGUUGACAAGUACAACAUGUCAAUAUAAGGAGGGCUGAACUCAGGAUUGCUUGGUUUCAGCGAUAUCAAGAGGACUGAACCAAGUAUAGCAAUGGCAAGGAAGUAGGACAGUUGGAUCCAGAAUGGAUGAACAUGCAAUGCGACGAAUCGAUAGAUGAAAACUAUCGAAUCAACGACAUAUCUACUGAUACGGCUGAAGCUAUGCAGCUUGAUAUGGAUGAAAUCCUGAUCCUGCAGGUACUGCACAUGUUCUCAGGAAAUUGUUCUGAAGUUGGAUUGGUGAUCAUGCUGAGUGAAAAAUCUCAUUCUUCAGUUUAUUCUAUGAUGGCGCUGAUAAGUGCAGCUGUGGAAGGUUGCACUUGCAUCCCACAGUACUUGGUAUACCAGUCCUCAAUCAAGUUGCUGUUGUUCAUAGCAACACUCAGGAAGGGCUGAACUCAGGACUGCUUGGUUUCAGCGGCAUCAAGAAGACUGAACCAAGUAUAGCAAUGGCAAGGAAGUAGGACAGUUGGAUCCAGAAGGGAUGAACCGACGAACCGAUAGAUAAAAACUAUCGAUAUCGACGACAUAUCUACUGAUGCGACCGAAGCUAUGCAGCCUGAUAUGGAUGAAGUCCUGGUAAAAUCUUUUCAACCUUAUGUGGAUGCUGCCUGGUGGCUUUAUUAAUUUAAAGCCGGACGCUUCUAGCAUCUUCGUUCCAAAAAAAAAAACUUUUCACCCGACCCAUGAUAUGGUAUGAGUGUGAGAAACAAAUGCAUACAUCUGUGAUAAAAACAGGCCUCAUA
Long non-coding RNA from Triticum aestivum (bread wheat), 3662 nucleotides. RefSeq lists it as uncharacterized. Lineage: Eukaryota; Viridiplantae; Streptophyta; Magnoliopsida; Poales; Poaceae. The transcript is spliced from 6 exons. The record is from RefSeq and is a predicted model, not a curated record.